UACGGAGGGUGCGAGCGUUGUCCGGAAUCACUGGGCGUAAAGGGCGCGUAGGCGGCCCUGCAAGCGUGUGGUGAAAGCCCGGGGCUCAACCCCGGGUCGGCCGUGCGGACUGCGGGGCUCGAGCACUGUAGGGGCGGGUGGAAUUCCUGGUGUAGCGGUGGAAUGCGCAGAUAUCAGGAGGAACACCAAUGGCGAAGGCAGCUCUCUGGUACAUGAUUGACGCUGAGACGCGAAAGCGUGGGGAGCGAACAGG
This 253-nucleotide ribosomal RNA is filed under the name uncultured bacterium. RNAcentral's name for it is "partial 16S ribosomal RNA". It matches the Rfam family "Bacterial small subunit ribosomal RNA", at positions 524 to 776 of the family's 1533-position model. The record is from RNAcentral.